Long non-coding RNA from Uranotaenia lowii, 895 nucleotides. RefSeq lists it as uncharacterized. The record is from RefSeq and is a predicted model, not a curated record. Lineage: Eukaryota; Metazoa; Arthropoda; Insecta; Diptera; Culicidae. The transcript is spliced from 2 exons.
CAGAUUUCACCAUCCUGUUGCCUGCGAUGUUUUGCUGCUGCAGUUUAAAUUUCAUCUUCAAAAAAGUGUGUAAAAGUGUUUAAAUAUUUGUGAUUAUUGAAUAAAAUAUUUUAUAUUUGAUAAAUCCAACUUGCUCUCGAUUUUACUUUUUUGCAUGCAACAUUUCAUGUCACACAAAAAACUGCUCACAUCCCCACCGAGUGGGCAAGCGUUUGAAAUAAUGUGUAAAUUUGACACGACGAUAUGACGUACAGCCUAUGUACCCUAUAAAGGGUACAAGGCCUGUACACCAAAAAGGAGUUAACCCAGUCUUAUCCGAUAACGGGUCAAAACUACACUAUAAGGGGUUGCGCCAGAUGAGUGUGUAUGAAAAACUUUCAGAAUCCGAAACACAACAGCGAGAAAAGUCAUCAAAAAAGUUAAGGCGAAGAAACUUAUGCUGAAAGCAGCUUUAAAGAUGCUUCGACCCAAAACGUGCCGUCUACCCUUUCCAUCCACUGCUGCAAUACUGGAUACAAUCGAGCUGCUGGAUUCGAUCGAGUGUUAUAAAUCAGGUUCCCGGUUGGCAUUCUUGGCGUAUGUGUUGGCCGUCGGGGAACGCUUCGGCUUGUCCAGGACGAAGAUACCUUCGUCCUUUUCCUGCGCAUCUGGUUCACGAUGAACAUCACCACCAGGAAGUCGAAGAGCAGGCCUUCCCGAUGACAGCCGUUAGGAUGUUCUCCUGCCCAAAGAAGCUCGCGGUUCAGUCACUGUGGUGCUCGUCCAUCAGCGUAAUGUGUUUGGUCUAGCUCAGAUCCAGGCCGUCCCUGAAGCAACUGGCUCGAGCGAUCGUGAAAAUUUUAAUAAUUGUAAGUUUUUGAUAAAUUCCAAUAAAAACUUUUGAACAUGCUAUAAA